This 693-nucleotide ribosomal RNA is filed under the name uncultured bacterium. Its description in RNAcentral is "bacterial SSU rRNA". It matches the Rfam family "Bacterial small subunit ribosomal RNA", at positions 32 to 715 of the family's 1533-position model. The record is from RNAcentral.
AACGCUAGCUACAGGCUUAACACAUGCAAGUCGAGGGGCAGCAUCAUCAAAGCUUGCUUUGAUGGAUGGCGACCGGCGCACGGGUGAGUAACACGUAUCCAACCUGCCGACAACACUGGGAUAGCCUUUCGAAAGAAAGAUUAAUACCGGAUGGCAUAGUUUUCCCGCAUGGGAUAAUUAUUAAAGAAUUUCGGUUGUCGAUGGGGAUGCGUUCCAUUAGGCAGUUGGCGGGGUAACGGCCCACCAAACCUACGAUGGAUAGGGGUUCUGAGAGGAAGGUCCCCCACAUUGGAACUGAGACACGGUCCAAACUCCUACGGGAGGCAGCAGUGAGGAAUAUUGGUCAAUGGACGAGAGUCUGAACCAGCCAAGUAGCGUGAAGGAUGACUGCCCUAUGGGUUGUAAACUUCUUUUAUACGGGAAUAAAGUGAGCCACGUGUGGCCUUUUGUAUGUACCGUAUGAAUAAGGAUCGGCUAACUCCGUGCCAGCAGCCGCGGUAAUACGGAGGAUCCGAGCGUUAUCCGGAUUUAUUGGGUUUAAAGGGAGCGUAGGCGGGUUGUUAAGUCAGUUGUGAAAGUUUGCGGCUCAACCGUAAAAUUGCAGUUGAUACUGGCGACCUUGAGUGCAACAGAGGUAGGCGGAAUUCGUGGUGUAGCGGUGAAAUGCUUAGAUAUCACGAAGAACUCCGAUUG